Diceros bicornis minor is the source of this 322-nucleotide long non-coding RNA. RefSeq lists it as uncharacterized. The transcript is spliced from 3 exons. The record is from RefSeq and is a predicted model, not a curated record. NCBI's taxonomy places the organism in Eukaryota, Metazoa, Chordata, Mammalia, Perissodactyla, Rhinocerotidae.
GCAUACGUCAUGGAAAGGCUGGUGGCUAAAGCCCUGGUAGAGACUUGGAGGACCUGAAUUUGAAUCCUGGCUCUGUCAUCCACUUGCUGAGUAGCCUUGGGUAAAAUCUAGAUUAUAUAUGUCAUGAGGUAAAGGCAGCCUAUGCUGGUAAGCUCUACAUAUUUAGGAUACCCACACAGCACAACAGGAUUCCUGAGAGACCCAUGCAGCUAUACAUCUGAAGGUGGACGGACUGAAUCCCCAGGAAGCAGUGGAGAUAGGUGAGUGUUCCCCUACCCCUCCCUGGCAGCAGUAAGCCAGGUCGUGGGUCCUUGCACAGCAG